RNAcentral lists this transfer RNA (74 nucleotides) under Bacteroidales bacterium. RNAcentral's name for it is "tRNA-Asn". It matches the Rfam family "tRNA". Rfam says of the family: Transfer RNA (tRNA) molecules are approximately 80 nucleotides in length. Their secondary structure includes four short double-helical elements and three loops (D, anti-codon, and T loops). The record is from RNAcentral. Lineage: Bacteria; Pseudomonadati; Bacteroidota; Bacteroidia; Bacteroidales.
UCCUCAGUAGCUCAGUUGGUUAGAGCACCUGACUGUUAAUCAGGGAGUCGUAGGUUCAAGUCCUACCUGGGGAG